UAUAACCGUAAUGGCUACACGUCUGUUUUAUUUUACUCUCGUCUUUCAUUAAUUAUUAAAUAAUGCCUCUUGUCUUACAUUGUUCAAUGUUUUGAAUUCUUGAUGUUACUUCAACUUCUACUUUUUUUAUGUUCCUAAAGUAAAGUUACAUUGUUAAUUUGUAUUUUAUUAAAGAACUCAAAUCCAUUCACACGUUAAUUGUUCAACAAACAAUAAUCGCUGAACAUACAAACUGUAUACAGUAAUGCAACGAUCAUCUUUUCCUUAAUCAGUUACAUAGUAAAGGACAAAAGAUUAGUUCGUGUUGAAGGAGAACGUACGUUUCUAUGUAUAUAUAUAAUAACAUAUUAGGUAAGCAAUGUCUUUAAUAAAUUUUUUUCUCUAUACAACUUUCUUUUUUCGUAUUUUCUAGCGAAUUAAAUAUUGAAUAAACGUUCGUUUUUAUGUGUAUAAUAUCCAUGUGUACAGUGGUGUACCAAGAGUUUACACCAUUUUACUUCCUUAGCACCCCUCAAAAUCAAUUUUUCAGCAUUGAAUACUAAUUAGAUAUCUACCUAGUGUAAGGACACAAAUUUGUACACACUAAAAAUCAUUCAAAUAUGCCAUAAUGGUCUAAUCCCAUUCCAUUCUCCAUCAUUUCAAACUUCAACCUACAAUAAUUCUUCACCAUUCUUGCUUUUAAAAAUAUUUUUAACUUUAUACCUUAAGAAAACUCAAAAGCCAUACUACAAUCUGGUGUGUGGUUGCUAUGGUGUAUGUUUAGUCAAGUAUAGAAAAUAUAUGUUUUAGCUACUUAGAGAACUGAAUGCCUCAUGAAAUAUGUAGUCAAAAUGAUAAAAAUAUACAAUAAAAAAUAAAAUACAUAAAAGUUGCUAAUGUUGUGUUACAUAAUUAUUCUAAAUAUUUUCCAAUUGAUAUAAACUCUAACAUGAAGUUCCUUCAAAAUCUUAUAAGUGAUUCUGCUAAUGUUCCACCGCUCCUUUCCCUUAAAAACUUCUGAGUACCACCAUAUUCAGCCUGCUCUAUUGUUUCAUUUACUAUUCCUAAACGUUAUACUAAUUACAGUCCAAAUAAUCUAAUCAACUGUUAAGUGCACUCUACAGUGCGCCUAAUAAUACUUACCCUUCCUCUUGUUUUAAACUGAAUACCUAGCUUUGUUUCACUACUAUUGACUUUUUGUACUUUAUGUAAAUUUACCUACAAUAAUUGUACUUUGGCCCAAGCCUGUGUUUAAUAAAUAAAUUAAACUAAUAAUGAUGAACACCAUUUUAUUAAUUAUUGUUAAAUGACAUUUUAUUUACAUAUCACUGAUAUGUCAGUCUAAUUAUCUUUUAAAUUAUUAAUAAGGGGUUGAAAUGUCAUAUUUUUGAUUUGAUUACCAUUAUACAGGAUAAUUGUUUUAUGAUGAACCAGCAAUUUUCUCGAAGGAUUGUGAGUGAAUUUGAUUUCUGUUUCUGUUUUCAUCAUUAUGGAAUCAGUUAAGCUUUAUUUUAAAUCAUUUUUAAUUUUUUACCCUCUACUCCACAUUCCUUAAAUUUCUUAAAUAAGUUUAUGCUUGUUUUUAAAAUAGAACCCUCCUUUUUUAGCACAAAUUUGAGUACGAGAUAUUUCUUUAGAAAUUUUGUUAUACAUAACACUAAUAUCAGAUUUACCAUUUAUGAGUUAUAACCAUUUAAAGGUUGGAUUGGAAGAGUAGGGAAGAGUAAUAAAUUUCACAUCUAUUUUUAAAUGAUAAAUUGAUUACUCAAUAAUUAUUCCAUCAAGAAUUCAAAUUUAUUUUUUCCCAAGUGUGCAGUGCUAUAUAAUCAAGUUUUAAAUGAUGUUGAUUAUUUUUUUAUCCCUCACAAAUGUUUCUGAAGAAAAGCUUUAUUUAUAUCUACAUACUAAAACCCUUUAUUAUGUCACAUUAUUAUAUUUCACUACCUAAAUCUAGCUAAAUUAUUUUAAUUUACUUUAUUAAUUUUUGUAUUUUUUAUAGAUGGUGUACUUGAAUAAUAAUGCUCAAACAAUGGAAAACUUUGAUGUAACUGGAAGGAAAUAAUUAUACAUACAUAUACUUUAAAUUCAGUGGGUAUAUUGGUUAUUUGUAAUCAAUAGUAAAAAGUAAGUAUGAAUGCAUAUUAUGAAACAAUUUUUUUUACAUUUGCUAUUAAACAUUUCGGUACAUAGAUACAAUAAAGCAAAAAUAAAAAUAACCCCACAAAGUACAUUUACAUAGAAAAUAAUGUGGCUAUUUAUUGUUAUUUAUUGUAGAAAUAUUUAAAAUACAAUCUAUAUUAAUAAUUAAUUUAAAAUUUGAUUUUAUAAGUUUUAUAAAUUUGAUUUGUAUUGAUUAACUCAUUUGUGUUCGACUUUUCAAAACAAUUGCAUAAAUUAUGUAAUGAAUAUAUAAAUAUAUUAAAUAUCUUAUACUGUUCUACCAUUUCUCCAAAACACAUACUAUGUACAUCAUAUAUUCAUCCCCUUGCUGUUUUGCGUCAAAUGUUCUUUAUUCGGUUGGUCUCUCAGAGGGAUGACAUAGGCUGGGCAGCAACACUCCCUUGAUUUAAGCAUGUGUGAUUUUUUCCUCUGGAUCUAUCCUAAGGAUAAGAAUUUUAGAUAAGUUAUUGCUCCCAAAAUUGUUGGUAGAAAAGUUCUUCACAGAAAAAAAAUCUUAGUAUUUCACCAACUAUGUUUCAUACAUUUGCAUGGUUUUUCUCAGUUUUUUUUUUCGGAUUUUCAUAUUUGAUAAAGAAAUUCUCUAGAAAAUCGAAAAAUGGCUACCCUAAAGUACCUUCCCUCACCAAUUUCCUUUCAAAAAAGGUGCUAUACUUAAAAAUCAAAUCAAGAUUUCUGGUAGAAAAGUUGUUAGAUAAAAAAUAAAUAAUAAAAAAUCUUUGUAAAAUCAUAAGUUUCUAUGCUUAACUCAGAAUCUAAAAUAAUGUACUAAACUGAUUUCAAGAGUUUUAUAUUUACAUAUAAAUAAUUUGUAUAAACUUUAAAUUUGUAAUGUGAAAAUAUUGUUUCUAGGAGAAGAAGUCUAAUUUGAAACAUAUAAAACCACUGGCGCUCAAGACUUAAGACUUGGCCACAUCUGAAAAAAAAUCUGGUCAA
RNAcentral lists this long non-coding RNA (3093 nucleotides) under Cinara cedri. Lineage: Eukaryota; Metazoa; Arthropoda; Insecta; Hemiptera; Aphididae. The record is from RNAcentral.